GUUGCUAUUUGAAAAUCAAAAAUUGAUAAAUGGAUAUUACAUAAUACAUCGUAUACGAAAUAAGCGUAAAAAUGUUGAAUACAUUGUAAAAAUAAGGCCAUUAAACGAUUCCGUUAUGACUAAAAAGGUUACCAAUAUCAAUUUUACCCAAAAAAUCAUAUAAUUGCUGGUUCGAGUUAAAAAAAAAUCACCCUGUAAUUUGUACACCGUGUAAAUAAUAUUGUAUAGUACGACUGUUGUGUAUGAAAAUCGAAUUUGACUUAUUUGUUCAUUAGGAACUAUUGUAAGCGAAUUGACGG
Molecule: non-coding RNA, 299 nt
Organism: Cinara cedri
Lineage: Eukaryota; Metazoa; Arthropoda; Insecta; Hemiptera; Aphididae
Source: the annotation of a GenBank genome assembly